UGCCACGGUCGCCUGAGCUAAGUGAUGAACUGACUAAAAAGGCGCAGCGUUCUGCGCCUUUUUU
RNAcentral lists this small RNA (64 nucleotides) under insect gut metagenome. RNAcentral describes it as "Salmonella enterica sRNA STnc40". It matches the Rfam family "Salmonella enterica sRNA STnc40". The record is from RNAcentral.